Molecule: long non-coding RNA, 28614 nt
Filed under: Vitis vinifera (wine grape)
Lineage: Eukaryota; Viridiplantae; Streptophyta; Magnoliopsida; Vitales; Vitaceae
Description: long non-coding RNA (VVIN_LNC006725)
Source: RNAcentral
UUAUUUGUUUUAUUAAAUGCUUACUCCAGUAAGUUUAAAAAUUUUUACAUCUUCAAAUCAUUUUGCUUGAGUGUUUUGCAUUCUAAGAGUUUGAGGAAAUAUUGAACUCUAAUAUAAAUAGUAUUGGUCAUAGAGUCUUCCUUUCUUAAGAAGCUUACCAUUAACCUAAUGGCCAAAGGAUCCCAAAAGGAAACAACUUUGGGUUGGCUUGAAGAUUUCACAUGGUCCAAACAUUCAUAUUUACUAGAUGCCUGAUAUAAAAUAAAUUUUGCUCUCUUUUCAAUUUAGCCAUUGAUGUAGUCUAAAUGUUUUAUUAGAGCAAUAAUUGUCCAGUAAAUGCAAAAUAGAGGAUGGUGUUAAUGAAUUCAGUACUUCAUCUAUGUUGUAGACUUGUAGUUUAGCAGCUUCUGUUGAUAAUGAGUGUGAGGUUGGCUUUAUCAUGUCACUGUUCCAAAUAUUCUUAAAAAAAAUCAUUUAAGCUCUAUUAGGUUCUUAGAAAAUUUAAGGGAAAAUGUGAGGAAAACAAAAUAGAGAAGAAAAGUGGAAGGAAAAAAAAGUGAAAGUCAAUGAAUUAUUUUUGUAUGCUACUUCAAACUCACUUCACUUUUUUUAACUCUUCAAUAUAAAGAUUCAAUCAUUUGAAAAAUGUGUAAAUUUCUAAUUAAUUUUAAUUAUAUUUGAUUUUCUUUGGAAUUCUCAUUUCUUCUCAUUUUCUUAUGACUUCAUUUUUAUUCAAUAUCUAUAUGAAAUUAUUUAUGUUCAUUUUCUUUAGAUAUUACAUUUUUUUGCUUUCUCAAUAAUUUCAUUCAAGUUCUUUUGGAUAUCACAUUUUCUUUGGUGUUUUUUUUAGAAUAAUUCAAAAUGUCUUUUUUAACGGUUCACAAAAUUUGAUCAUAGUUGAGUGAUUAAAAUUCAAGUUUAUUAUUAUUAUUAUUAUUAUUAUUAUUAUUAUUAUUAUUAUUAUUAUUGGCUAUUUGAUAUAUUUGUUUUCUUAUACAGAUAAAAGACUGGCAGCUAAUGUGCAUAGAAUUUGUAGAAGAGAAUAAAGAUUUGAUCUAAGUUAUUUCUAAUAGGUUGAGGAAUUCAUUCUUGUAAAAUUUGAGUGUUAAAGCCUUCAAGAGGUUUGAAUCUUGAAGAAAUUAUGUAAGAGCCCAUUGGAGCCAGAAUCCAAGUGUAAAGGAGAUUGGAAGCUUGGUUGAAGCUUCAAGUUAGUGAAACCCUCACUCGGUUAGGAGAUUGAGGAGAGUGGACGUAGGCAAGGAAAUGUCGAACCACUAUAAAAUCCAAGUUUAAAUUCUCUAACUCUAUCUCUUUAUUUUUUUUUAUUAUAUUGUACUUGAAUUUGUUGUGUUGAAAAAGUUUUUGAAAAACCCAAUUCACCCUCCUCUUAGGUGUUUUUCUCAUUUAAGCAUAGCCUUUAUUUUCUCACACUUGAAAUCCUUUCUCAUUAAUUUGCUUCCACCUCAUAAGCAACCCUCGAAACCACUUACACCAUGACAAGGUGAAAAGAAACUAAUGCUGCAUUCUCAAUAUAUAAGAAGAUAUCAAAGGAAGGUUGGCCACAUAUAAGGACCCUGUUUCUAAGGUAGAAUUUUAGAUUUUUGUGUUUUUCCUAUCACUACUCCUAUACUAUUACCAGUGCACCUUAUUUGUCAAGAUGAUUAAAAAGGAAUUCCCUAGGAUAACUAGUGUCUCAAGUGAUCUUGAGGUUCAUAAAUUUUUGGUUUCCACAAGAUAGGUGCCAACUAUUUUUUUUUUUUUUACACCCAUGCAAUAUUCCAGUCAUCUAUUAACAAGGGCUAAAAUUUCUUGUAGAGAAUAGAAUAAAGAACUAAAUUACAUGAAAAUAGGACAUUGUUAUUCUAUUUACAAGUAAGGGCCAAAAAUUGUUGAGGGUCAUCAAGUACAUUGUUCCUAAAAUAAUAGCAUCCAUGAAGAUUGAACUGAUACGAAAUGCCUUUCGAGUUUGAAAUCCCUAAAUUUUCUUCUUAUUUUCUAUGACUUCAUUUUUAUUAUCUUACAUUCAAAAAUCCUCUGUUUUCAUUUGUUUUGGUAGUUCUUUUUAUUUGCACCUUAUUUGUUUUAUUAUACUCCAGUAAGUUUGAAAAUUUUUACAUCUUCAAAUCAUUUUGCUUGAGUGUUUUGCAUUCUAAGAGUUUGAGGAAAUAUUGAGCUCUAAUAUAAAUAGUAUUGGUCAUAGAGUCUUCCUUUCUUAAGAAGCUUACCAUUGACCUAAUGGCCAAAGGAUCCCAAAAGAAAACGACUUUGGAUUGGCUUGAAAAUUUCACAUGGUCCAAACAUUCAUAUUUACUAGAUGCCAGAUACAAAAGAAAUUUUGCUCUCUUUUUAAUUUAGCCAUUGAUGUAGUCUAAAUGUUUUAUUAGAGCAAUAAUUGUCCACUAAAUGCAAAAUAGAGAAUGGUGUUAAUGAAUUCAGUACUUCAUCUAUGUUGUAGACUUGUAGUUUAGCAGCUUCUGUUGAUAAUGAGUGUGGGGUUGGCUUUAUCAUGUUACUGUUCCAAAUAUUCUUAAAAAAAAUCAUUUAAGCUUUGUUUGGUUCUUAGAAAAUUUGAGGGAAAAUGUGAGGAAAACAAAAUAGAGAGGAAAAGUGGAAGGAAAAAAAAGUGAAAGUCAAUGAAUUAUUUUUGUAUGCUACUUCAAACUCACUUCACUUUUUUUAACUCUUCAAUAUAAAGAUUAAAUCAUUUGAAAAAUGUGUAAAUUUCUAAUUAAUUUUAAAUAUAUUUGAUUUUCUUUGGUAUUUUCCAAAAGAUAAUCAAAUAUGAGAAAAUCAUUUUCCUUAACAUUUUUUUUUUCUUAGUACUUUUAGUGAACCAAACAUAACCUAAAUGUUUUAGUUUAGUAGUUUCAUCAAAUUAGAUAGACAACCUCACAUCUCUUAGUGAGCUCAGGUGCUAUGUCAAUUAAUGCUUUGUCUCUACUUCUUCAUUGAAGUCUCUAUUUAUUGGAUGCACAGAUGAUAUGAUCCAAACUCAAAUUGAACACUACUCUUGUUUUGCAACAUUACUGCACUCGAAAGACAACUUCAACUCACUUAUAGACCUUCUUAUUGGUGAUUGCACUAAAUCGACACCACUUUGGAAGAGAUGUGUUCCACAUAGAAAAUAUUUCAUUAUAUGCACCUACUCGCAAGAUACCAAAGGGAAACAAGUGAAUACUUGCCUAGGAAUACAAAGGCCAUACUUAGUGAAGGUUCCAUCAAUAAGGAGAACCAUUUCAAGUAUGGAAUUCUCAUUUAUUCUCAUUUUCUUAUGGCUUCAUUUUUAUUCAAUAUCUAUAUGAAAUUAUUUAUGUUCAUUUUCUUUAGAUAUCACAUUUUUUUGUUUUCUCAAUAAUUUCAUUCAAGUUCUUUGGAUAUCACAUUUUGUUUGGUGUUUUUUUUAGAAUAAUUCAAAAUGUCUUUUUUAACGAUUCACAAAAUUUGAUCACAGUUGAGUGAUUAAAAUUCAAGUUUAUUAUUAUUAUUAUUAUUGGUUAUUUGAUAUAUUUGUUUUCUAAUACAGACAAAAUACUAGCAGCUAAUGUGCAUAGAAUUUGUAGAUAGAAUUUGUAGAAGAGAAUAAAAAUUUGAUCUAAGCUAUUCCUAAAGACCAUAAACUUUUAGAGCUACCCAAGAUCUAACAGGUUAAAUUUUGAUUCACUUAGUUUACAAUCCACUAAUUAUCCUUAUGUCAUUUUUGUUAUGUUACAAAUUGCCUUUACUUGUUAUGCAACCUAUCUUAAUAAUUUGGGAAGACCAAGAUAACAUCUUCCUAGUAGAACUGGCUCAAAAAUUGAAAAGGUACACUCAUAUCACCUAUCUACAUGCCCACAACAUUAUAAACACUAGCUCAUGUGUUCCUCACUAUUGAGAUUGUUGUUGCAUGCAGGCAUUUUGGGCGAGGAGGCCCGACUUGUGAUCAUCAAUAACACAAGGCAUGCUUUUAUACAGAGAAUCCCAAAUAAACAUUUAAGCACUUUGUUAGCCCAAGGGUUCUCCUAAUCAGGUUUUGAUGAUAACAAACCAUGGUUAAGUGACUAAUUGGUUUGAAUGAUAAAGAAUCUUAGGUAUAAAUUUGGAAAUUCAUCAAAUGAUCAAAUGGAUACAAGAUCGAGACUUUUGGAAGACUUUUGAUCAUAGGAAACAAAUGUAAGAUGAAUGCAUGGGUGCACUUAGGUUUUACAUAUCUUUUCAUGAAUCUUUGAAAACUCGGUUUAUUCCUUAAAAUUACGAUUUCAUUAAAACCCGAGUUUUAUCAAAUGUACCUUAGGCAAAACAUUUCAAAAUUGGCAUAUUAAUUUACCUAAAGACCUUGCCUAAGUGUUAGAAAGGAAAAGAAUUGAAAAAUAUAGGUUUUCAGGGCCAAAAGGCUGAACUGAUCGAGGCACAUGCCAACCGGCUCAACCAACCAGGGAACCGGUCAAUCGGUUGCUCUUGCCCGAUCGAGAUCUGGUCGAGGAGUGUCAAAAACACUUUCUCUCAUCCAGUAACCUUCUCUUCCCAGUCGAGGUACUCUCCUUACCUCUGGUCGAGGUUCGGUCGAGGCAACGGUAACAUGCCAAAGCAUUAAAUGCUUCAACGACUAGUGAACCAAUCGACCCCCGGCUCGACCGGUUGAGGCUAUUUUUUGCUCUUUUUGGCUCCCGAGCUUAGAAACCAAUAAAUUGAGAGCUCCACUUCAUUUAUGACAUAGAGAAAACUUGCAAUCAAUUGUCUACCCACUUGUUCUUGCCUUAAAAGCUCUCAUUUAUUUCUUAGUGCAUUAAAUCCUCACUUGCAUAUCCUUUAGUACACCCUUGUGAAUCAUCCUAGCUUUGAUUUGUAUUUGAACUAUCAUUGAGGUAGAUUGAGGGAUUCAUUCUUGUAAAAAUUGAGUAUUAAAGCCUUCAAGAGGUUUGAAUCUUGAAGAGAUUAUGUAAGAGCCCAUUGGAGCCAGAAUCCAAGUGUAAAGAAGAUUGGAAGCUUUGUUGAAGCUUCAAGUUAGUGGAACCCUCACUCGAUUAGGAGAUUGAGGAGAGUGGACGUAGGCAAGGAAAUGUUGAACCACUAUAAAAUCCGAGUUUAAAUUCUCUAACUCUAUCUCUUUAUUUUUUAUUAUAUUGUGCUUGAAUUUGUUGUGUUGAAAAAGUUUUUGAAAAACCCAAUUCACCCAUUUCUUAGGUGUUUUUCUCAUUUAAGCAUAGCCUUUAUUUUCUCACUCUUGAAAUCCUUUCUCAUUAAUUUGCUUCCACCUCAUAAGAAACCGUCAAAACCACUUACACCAUGACAAGGUGAAAAGAAACUAAUGCAACAUUCUGAAUAUAUCAGAAGAUAUCAAAGGAAGGUUGGCCACAUAUGAGAACCUUGUUUCUAAGGUAGAAUUUUAGAUUUUUUUGUUUUUCUUGUCACUGUUUCUAUACCAUUACUAGUGCACCUUAUUUGUCAAGGUGAUUAAAAGGGAAUUCCCUAGGAUAACUAAUGUCUUAGAUGAUCUUAAGGUUCAUAAAUUUUUGGUUUCAACAAGAUAGGCGUCAAACCAUUUUUAUUUUUUUCUACACCCAUGCAAUAUUCCAUUCAUUUAUUAAUAAGGGCUAAAAUUUCUUGUAGAGAAUGGAAUAAAGAACUAGAUUAAAUUAAAUAAGACAUUAUUAGUCUAUUUACAAGUAAGGGCAAAAAAUUCUUGAGGGUCAUUAAGCACACUAUUCCUAAAAUAAUAACAUCCAUGUCGUCGAGCAAAAGUUUAUUGCAAUUACAUUAGCAUAUAAAACAAAACUAAUUUUUUUAUUAUUUAUGUUCACACCUUAUCCAUUUGAUAAAAUGCUUAAACAAGUAAGUUUGAAUUUUUUUUGUCUUCAAAUCAAUUUAAAUUUUACAUUCAAAAGUUGAAUUAAUUUUUUUUUUUGGAAAAUUUAACUGCACUUUAGAAGUUUGUGAUUAUUCUUUGGUCCAUCUUAAAAUGAGUUCCCGCAUUUUUCCAUUCCUGAAAUUAAAAUCACAAUAAAAAGUUUUAGAUUGACCUAAAAUUUUCUCAUGGCCUAGAAAUUCAUAUCUACUAGAUGGCUAAAGCAAAAAAACACUUCUAUCUUGUAUUUUAAGUAAUCCCUGCUUGCUAUUUGUUUAUUGAGAGCAUCAUACAAGUUGUGAUUAUAUUUCUUAAUUUUUUUAUAUGAUAAGACGGUAACUGGAUUGAGAAAGAUGCAACUUGUAGAGCAGAAAAUUUCUUGACUACUUUCCUUGUAUUUGCUUUGUGUGUAUCAACUGUUCUGUUAAUUAUUUUUUUAAAAUAUCACUAAAACAAACCUAUUAUGUCAAUGCUCUCUAUUGUUAUGUAUCAUAAUUUAGCUAUUUUUUCCCUAGAAAUCAUGCUUGUUAUUGUGUUAAUCAGUAGGUAGCAUAAGAACUAUUUUGUUCAAGUCAUUUUGUAUUGGCAUUCUUCAUGUUUUAAAAUAUUGUCAGACUAGCAAUUUUACUGCAGAUAUAAUGUUCUCAAAUCAAUGCAAAAAGGGACGUUGUGGGGCUUGGGCACAACCUUCCUUAAAUAGUUGAAUUGAGGGUUUCUAUAAACUAGGUCUCUAUAUCAACAGAUUCUACAUUUCAUCACUAUGGGGACCUUACAAUAAAUACCGCAAAAAACUUCAUUUACUACAUAGUAAGGAUAAUCCUAAGGACUUAAAAGCUUGAGUUGUCUUUUCCAUGGCAGCUUCAGAUCUCUUAAUAAGCUCCAAGUCAUUGUCUACCUUGAAUAUAAAUCACUGCUAGAAGUAUGUGCCCUCAACAUUCCCAUGUUCUCGAUAUUGACUAGAUAUUUGUUGCUAAUCCAUGAAGAAUUGAAGGGAUCUUUGAUAAUGACAUCUAUAAUGUACUUCAAGUUCAUGAUCCAAACCCUCUUCUUGCUUUCAAUAACUUCAUUUUUUUUUUAUAUUACUUUGUGGUCAAUGUUAUAAGGAUGUUGUAUUUUGUUUACCUGAUUCUCAUCCAUCAGCACACAUGAAAGGAAAAGUUUUACAUUGCUUUCCUUCCCUUUGCUCUGUGUUUGUAUAUGUUUAUGCAGCUAAUGCGAACUUCCACCAUAACUUUUUAAGUUUUUUCAUUCUUGAGUUUGGGAAACAACUGGAUUUGAUUGUAAUAUUUCUUGUAGAUAUCACCUUUCUUAAAAAGCUUGCAUUUAUUCACAUUUUCAAGAUGGCUAAGUCAUCUGAUUAUGCUUAUAACUUUUGGUUUCUAUUAAAUUCAGGUAUGAUGUUUGCAAUGCUAACCCCCUUACUCCUCUUGAAGACUACAUAAGUUUCUAGUGCUGUUACUUUAAUGGUUAUAGUCAAUGUAUCCUCUUGUUACUUCCUGCUUGCAUUCUAUAUGUUCAAGAGCUUUAUUAAAGUAAUUAUUUUAUUGAAGAUAUAAUUGUUUUCAGGUCAAAGCAAAAUUGAAUAAUGACGUGGUUUCAACAACUUCUCAAAAGUAAUUGGAAAGUAAGGAACUUUGUGGUAGUAUUCUGAUAUCACAUUGGGCCUUCAAAUUGUUGUCUUGAAUUGACAUAAAUAACAUAAUUUCUUUCCCAGUUAAGUUGCUUCAACAUGUUAUUAUGCUUCAAACUCUUUCAAUUAUGUGUUGUUUAGGUUUGGCAACAUUAGUACACUGGAUAUGUUGCCUCGAGUUACUUACACGACAUAAAAUUCAUCUUUGUUGUUAACUAGCAUCACUACCACAAGAUGAGUUCCCUCAGCAUUCUACAGACAACUAUAAUUUGGGACAAUUCUGGUUUGGCAACAUUAUCGGAGUUGAUAGGCAACCUAACAAAAACCUUUAAAUUUAUAUUUAUCCCGAACUAGCAUCACUGCUGGAAGACGUGCAUCCUUAGCACCCUAUAACCACUCAUAAUUGGAGACUGUUAUGGUUUGUAAACAUUCAACAGACUUGAUAGGUAACCUUGCACCAGUUACAGAGCUUCAAAUUCAUGGCUAUCUUGAAUUGACAUCACUUUCAAACUAGAUGGUUCAUCCAAACCUCAGUUGACACCCAUAAUUCAAGACUUCUCCAUUUUGGCAAUGAUAGCAGAUUUGAUAAGCAUCCCUACUUCACUUACAUACACUAAAAUUGAUAGCUACCUCGGAUUCACAUCAUUGUCACAAGAGAUUGGUUCCUUUAUAUCCCUGCAGACACUUGUGAUCUUUUAUCAUCCAUGUAUAUUAGAAAGACUUAAAAGGGAAAUAGAUGAAGAUAGGCCCAAUAAUCUUCAGUCCUAGAUAUUGAUAUGUGGUGAAGAUUGGACUAAUAUAGAGUUAGUUCAGGUUUGAAAUCCCAAUCUUUCUUCUCAUUUUUUAUGGUUUUGUUUUUAUCAAUAUGCUUUGUUUACAUUCUAUAUGGUAACUUUUGUAUGUAUUAGCAUAUAGAUCAAAAAGGACUUAGAUGAUUAAUUUGAAAAGUUUGCAUCCUCAAUUAAUUAGUAAUUAAAGACCAAACUAAUCAUAUUACUUUAAGUCUUGCAUUGUAAGAGUUUGGGAAAAUGUUAGGGUUGACUGAACUACUAUUUUAUAACAGAUUUUGCCUUACUCAAGAAUCUUGUGAUUAUUCCUUAGCACAAUCAUUUCUCGUGUCUAAGAAAUUCAUAUCUACUACAUGUCCAAAGAAUUUAGUAGCAUUCAAAAUUUAUGCUUUCUUUCAAGUCAGGUGUAUUGCUUGCAGUUCUAACAUGUUUCCUAUUUUGAACGUUGUAUUGUUAUUUUACUAUCAAUGUGUUAAGAGCAUUAUACUCUAUUUUCUAUAAUGUUGUUUACUUGUCAUAAGUAUUAAUUAUUUUAUUGCAAAUGUACUUGUUGCCAAGUUAAAGCAAAAGAGGAAAGUGAGGAUUUUUCAUGGACCAAUGCCUUUCUCAGUUGCUGCCACACUUGACUUCUCUCUAAGUUGUUGAAAAUUUAAAAGUGUGGUAGCAUAAAGUAUUCAGCUCAAGUGCUUUAGUGACUCACUACCCUUGAAGCUUUAGAAGUUGUCAAUACAAUUGGGGUUUCAACAUGUAACCAUUUUGGAAAUUCUAAGAAGUGUAAGUAUUAUGGUUUUACAACUUUAUUAGACUAGAUAGGCAACUUCAAAUUGCUGAAUGCCCUGAAUUAAAAUCACUACUAGAAGGAACCCAUGAGCACUCUAUAGAAACUCAUUGUAAGAGUUUGGGAAAAUGUUAGGGUUGACUGAACUACUAUUUUAUAACAGAUUUUGCCUUACUCAAGAAUCUUGUGAUUAUCCCUUGGCACAAUCAUUUCUCGUGUCUAAGAAAUUCAUAUCUACUACAUGGCCAAAGAAUUUAGUAGCAUUCAAAAUUUAUGUUUUCUUUCAAGUCAGGUGUAUUGCUUGCAAUUCUAACAUGUUUCCUAUUUUGAAUGUUGUAUUGUUAUUUUACUAUCAAUGUGUUAAGAGCAUUAUACUCUAUUUUCUAUAAUGUUGUUUACUUGUCAUAUGUAUUAAUUAUUUUAUUGCAAAUGUACUUGUUGCCAAGUUAAAGCAAAAGAGGAAAGUGAGGAUUUUUCAUGGACCAAUGCCUCUCUCAGUUGCUGCCACACUUGACUUCUCUCUAAGUUGUUGAAAAUUUAGAAGUGUGGUAGCAUAAAGUAUUCAGCUCAAGUGCUUUAGUGCCUCACUACCCUUGAAGCUUUAGAAGUUGUCAAUACAAUUGGGGUUUUAACAUGUAACCAUUUUGGAAAUUCUAAGAAGUGUAAGUAUUAUGGUUUUACAACUUUAUUAGACUAGAUAGGCAACUUCAAAUUGUUGAAUGCCUUGAAUUAAAAUCACUACUAGAAGGAACCCAUGAGCACUCUAUAGAAACUCAUUGUAAGAGUUUGGGAAAAUGUUAGGGUUGAUUGAACUACUAUUUUAUAACAGAUUUUGCCUUACUCAAGAAUCUUGUGAUUAUCCCUUAGCACAAUCAUUUCUCGUGUCUAAGAAAUUCAUAUCUACUACAUGGCCAAAGAAUUUAGUAGCAUUCAAAAUUUAUGUUUUCUUUCAAGUCAGGUGUAUUGCUUGCAAUUCUAACAUGUUUCCUAUUUUGAACGUUGUAUUGUUAUUUUACUAUCAAUGUGUUAAGAGCAUUAUACUUUAUUUUCUAUAAUGUUGUUUACUUGUCAUAUGUAUUAAUUAUUUUAUUGCAAAUGUACUUGUUGCCAAGUUAAAGCAAAAGAGGAAAGUGAGUAUUUUUCAUGGACCAAUGCCUCUCUUAGUUGCUGCCACACUUGACUUCUCUCUAAGUUGUUGAAAAUUUAGAAGUGUGGUAGCAUAAAGUAUUCAGCUCAAGUGCUUUAGUGCCUCACUACCCUUGAAGCUUUAGAAGCUGUCAAUACAAUUGGGGUUUUAACAUGUAACCAUUUUGGAAAUUCUAAGAAGUGUAAGUAUUAUGGUUUUACAAAUUUAUUAGACUAGAUAGGCAACUUCAAAUUGUUGAAUGCCUUGAAUUAAAAUCACUAUUAGAAGGAACCCAUGAGCACUCUAUAGAAACUCAUUGUAAGAGUUUGGGAAAAUGUUAGGGUUGAUUAAACUACUAUUUUAUAACAGAUUUUGCCUUACUCAAGAAUCUUGUGAUUAUCCCUUGGCACAAUCAUUUCUCGUGUCUAAGAAAUUCAUAUCUACUACAUGGCCAAAGAAUUUAGUAGCAUUCAAAAUUUAUGUUUUCUUUCAAGUCAGGUGUAUUGCUUGCAAUUCUAACAUGUUUCCUAUUUUGAACGUUGUAUUGCUAUUUUACUAUCAAUGUGUUAAGAGCAUUAUACUCUAUUUUCUAUAAUGUUGUUUACUUGUUAUAUGUAUUAAUUAUUUUAUUGCAAAUGUACUUGUUGCCAAGUUAAAGCAAAAGAGGAAAGUGAGGAUUUUUCAUGGACCAAUGCCUCUCUCAAUUGCUGCCACACUUGACUUCUCUCUAAGUUGUUGAAAAUUUAGAAGUGUGGUAGCAUAAAGUAUUCAGCUCAAGUGCUUUAGUGCCUUACUACCCUUGAAGCUUUAGAAGCUGUCAAUACAAUUGGGGUUUUAACAUGUAACCAUUUCUUUUUGUUCUUAUAGACAAUAGAACAAUGUGGUAAUUGCAUGACAUACAAUUUGUAAUAGAUGGUCAACUAUAUAUUAAGUAAUCUUUAAUUGCCUUGGAGUUGAAACGUUUGAUGUUGAUAAGGUUUGAUAAUUCUUGCUUUGGUGCUUUGUUGGAUUUCAAUUCAGGUAAUUAAUUGAUCUUGUUAUGAUUUUUUGAUUGUUAUUAUAACUAUCGUGAUAAUCAUUCUUAUUUUAUCGUGGUAAUUGACUUCACUGACUUUAUGCCCAACCUAUUAUUGUUAGUAUUCCAUUAACAUACCUCUAAUGCCACCACUAAUAAACAUCAUGUGUUUAUAUUUAUAACACGUUUCAUUACUGAAAUAAUUUAAUAUUUUCAAAUUUCUUUUUAGAGUGUGAGAAAUAACCAUUAAUCUUUACAACAGCAUAAGUAUCAUUGAUUUGAUAUUGCUUUCUUGAGUAAUUUGGCAAUUUAAUUAUGAAGUUUAGUUGGACAUUACUUGAGAUUCAUGUCUUAUGUAUAUGGUAUAUUUUCCAAACUUCAAUUAUAUUUAGUAGACUUGUAAGUGGUGUUUGUCUAUGAGUUUCAACUCUUGAAAACUAUUAUUGGAGUCUAAGUUCACUUUCAAUAAGGAAAAAAAAAAAUCAACCUUUUCCUCAAUUGUGUAAUUUUAUUCACUAUUGACAUGCCCUUAAAUGGCAUUGCUAUUAUUUGUAGGGAACAUUGUCAAGUUCCAUAUUUGUCUAGAAAGUUAGAAGAAGUAUUUAAUUUGACAUGGUUUGGACAUCUUGCUACUAUCUUUUUAAAUUAGUUAUCAAUAAUUUUUCAAAGUUGACCUUUUUGUUUAUCUCAUACUCCUUUUAUAUUAAAAGGUAUCGCAUGGGUAUUAUGUAGAGGAAUCAUGCCUUCUUUAAUUGAGGUGAGCCUCUUGCAAAAUAUUUCAGGUUUGCUCUCAUUCCAUUUGUUACUUCAUGUCUAUUUUUUUGUAAUCAAUCAAGCAAGAGUUUCUUACUUGUACAAUGGUGAACUUGCUUGCAUGAAUAAUACUCUUUUUACUAUUUUUUUCUUUCUUUAUUAUAUUCAUUGAUACGCUUAGAAGUGAAUAGUGAACCAGGUUUUUUGUUAAAAGAAAUCAAAUAUUGGUAAUUAUUUAGUAUCAUGUUUGUAAUAAUCAAUUAUUGAUUGUAAAGAUACUUGGCUUAAUCAAUUAUUAUAUUGAAAUCAAUUUAGUACUAUGACUAAUACCAAAAGGAUAAUAUUUAGUCUUGUUUGACCAUUAGUCACUAUUCUAGAGACAAAUGCUCACAAGUUUUGCAUCUUUGAAGCAUAUGAGAAAAGUUGGUUCAACUAUAUCACCAACUUACAAGCUCCUUAUAGUGUCCAUAUAUAUAACCUUCGUUGUUCAGGUUUAUGAUUCAUAUCUUUUUUUUUUUCAUCUUUUUAUUGUUUAUAAUUUUUUAAUUGAUUUGUUUAUAAAUUUUUAAACUUUAUUGGCAAUACUAAUUAUUUUUUUUUAUUCUCAUGUGCAAUAGAAUAAUAAGUUGAAUAAGAAGCAUAAACUACUUAAUUGGUAUAACCGUUUACUCAAUUCUCUUCUCAUAUAUUUUUGUUCAAGGUAAUCAAAGUAUCAUUCUUUUUAUUUUUAAAGGUACUUGAACUCAGUGAGGACCAUUCCCAAAACAAGCAAUCAUUACAGUUGGAUUACUGAUAUCAUAUCCUUGAUUGACAUCUAUGCCAUUACAUUUGCAUCUAAAGGAUUUAUAAUGAAAAAAUAUCUUUUUUAUUUCCAUUUUCCUUCCUUCUUUUGACCAUAAUUUGUGUGCUUAUUGAUAGCAUUCAUACCCUAAUAUAUUUGCUAGCAUAUAUAUGCAUAUCAUAAUCUAUUGAAUUUUUUAGCAUAAGGUCUUAGAGUAUUCACAUAUCUCUAGGUUCUAUAUAUUUAUAAUUUUUACAACAUCAAAUGAAGUAUAUGAACCUUAUCCUGAAGGUGAAGUCUCUUUAAAGGGAGUUUCAACAUGUUAGCAAUUACCUAACUUAAUAAUCUAACAAUUUGGCACUAUAUAUAAUUUUGCAACUCUUUCAUAAAGUAAUUGUGUUACCUUUAUUCACAUUUUCUAUCUUUAUUUUAAAAAAAAUGAAUUGGUAAUUGUGUGUCAAAUCUUGCUUACAAUCAUUAAUAGGUACUUAUAUGCUAAAUGGAUAAAGUUAUUUUACAAUUGUUUCAACAUAUUUGGAAUAUAUAUAUAUAUAUAUAUAUAUAUUUAUAGAUGUAAUCACUACCAAGCCAAUGCGAAAAGCUAUAACAAUGAGGAUUACAAAGCUUCAAUUAUGUCUUGGAGAUUCAUAUUGACAAGUUGUAAAUGGUGGGUGAAGUCUCUUUAAAAGGAGCUUCAACAUGUUAGCAGUUACCAAACUUAAGAAUCUAACAACUUGACACUAUAUAUCAUUUUGCAACUCUUUCAUAAAGUAAUUGUGUAACCUCUAUUCACAUUUUCUAUCUUUAUUUUAAAAAAAAAAAUGAAUUGGUAAUUGUGUGUCGAAUCUUGCUUACAAUCAUUAAUAGGUACUUAUAUGCUAAAUGGAUAAAGUUAUUUUACAAUUGUUUCAACAUAUUUGACACACAAGUACCUAUUAAUAAGUAUAUAUUUAUAGAUGUAAUCAUACCUAGCCAAUGCGAAAAGCUAUAACAAUGAGGAUUACAACGCUUCAAUUAUGUCUUAGAGAUUCAUAUUGACAAGUUGUAAAUGGUGGGUGAAGUCUCUUUAAAAGGAGCUUCAACAUGUUAGCAGUUACCAAACUUAAGAAUCUAACAACUUGGCACUAUAUAUCAUUUUCCAACUCUUUCAUAAAGUAAUUGUGUAACCUCUAUUCACAUGCUCUAUCUUUAAUUUUUUUUUUUUUUUAAAAAAAAUGAAUUGGUAAUUGUGUGUUGAAUCAUUCUUACAAUAUUUAAUAGGUACUUAUACACUAAAUUGAUAAAGUUAUUUUACAAUUGUUUCAACAUGUUCUGAAAACAAAAAAGAUUAAUAAGUAUAUUUUUUCUAGAUGUAAUCACUACCAAGCCAAUGUGAAAAGCUAUAACAAUGAGGCUUACAAAACUUCAAUUAUGUUUUGGAGAUUCAUAUUGAAAGUUGUAGAUUAUGGAUGUAUAGUAUAGGAGUUAGAUUGAGUUUAUCAUUCUAUCUUUGACAUCUUAGUUUUCUAUGUAUUGUCCAUCAUAUAUAUUUGUCAUCUAUUCUUUACAACCAAUUUUUUAAGGACUUCUAUGAUUUGUUUAAAUUUAUAUAUUUGUUUUUAUUUGUACUAGAACUUCACCAAGCUACAAAAGCAUCACAAGUAUUGCAAUUGGAGUUCAUGGAUCAGGUAUUUUAGUAGUUUUUGUACCUGAAAUUUUUUUAUGAUACUAAUGAGGAUGUUUACCUUGAUUAAUUUAACACUUAUAUUGCAAAUAUCUAUAUAGGAGUUCUAUACAUUUAUUUAAACAUUUAUAUACAUAUUUAUCCUCUUUCUAGCACAUUCUAAUGAUAUUUUUAACAUUGAUAUAAGUUGUUUGCUUGAAGGUUUCAACUAUUGAAAAUUAUUAUUCAAGCCUAAUGUUAAUCUUUUUCUAUAGUGGAUUUCAAAUAAUAAAUUCUUAUUUGAUUAUUUGUAGGGAAAAUAAACAACUUCUAUGUUUGAUAAGAAAGAAGAUAGAGUAGAUCAAUUUCACAAUAUACGAAUGCUACGCUUUCUAUACUUUUAAAGAUGGUUACAAUUGGCUUUCUAUACUUAACAAGUACAUCUUAGCUAAAAGUGAAAAAAUGUUUCUCUUUGCACAUGCCUUCACUACUAUUUUAAUUGCUAUCUUAAUAUGUUAUGGAAAAACCACGGCAAAUAACAAUAAUAAGGAGAAGAAAUAAAAGAACAAAAAUAUAAAACUUAUAAAGUAGGAUGAUCUAUGUGGUUUGGCCUAAACCUACAUUUAUAUGUGAAAAUGAAGAAGAACUUCCACUAUUAUUAAAGGAGAUUAAAAUCCUAAAGCUUUCAAAUCUCAUGAUUACACUAAAAAUGGACUUUUUUUUUUAAUCAAAAUCUCUUCCUUUAUUUUCUUGAUUAUAUAAGAAUAUUCCAUAGAGAAUUAAUUGUGUAAUUAUCAAAGAUAACUAUUCCUAAAAGAAAAAUCUUAUAAUAUGAUAUUUCCUUUAGAAUAAAAGAAAAAUCUCUUGUAUAAAUAUAUCAUAAUAGGAAAAUAUUAAAGACUUAUAAAUUGACUCAAAACAAUUUGAAAUAUUUUUCAACAAUCUCCACAUUGGCUCAAAUUCUCAAUAUUCAAAUAAACUCAAAAGUCUUCUAUGUUACUUUGCUCUUAUACACCCUUAAGGGAACUUCAAGUAAUAUCAAUACCAAUUAAGUCUAAGCAAUGCAUAAACUUAAUCAUAGAAAUAAGUUUAGCCAUCAUAUCUAUAAAAUUAUCAACUAUAGGGAUCUUUUUCAUUACAUUAGUACCUUGUUCAAUCACAUCUCUAAUAAAAUGCAUUCUAACAUCAAUAUGUUUGGUUCUCUCAUGUAACAUAUGAUUUUUAGUCAAAAGUAUGACACUUGGCUACCAUGAUAACAAUAAUCAAUGAUUGGAACCAAAUAAUUACAUUUUGUGUGCCUAAAAUUAGGCAUUCAUAUUUAAUAUCCAAUUCUAGUUUCAUCCCUUUACUCAAUUUUAUUCCUAAGUCCUUAAUUUUGGGUUUAAUGUAUUUUUUAAAUAUUUUCCUUCUUUUUUGGUAUAUUUAUAUCACAUUUUUGCUAGCCAUUAUAUUUUUCAUGUGUUGGUUGCUAAUUUUACACUACAUAGUUGUCACAUCAUCCAACUAAUGGUUGUUACAUUAUCCAACUAUGGGCUGCCACAUGCUCCAGCUACCUUAGCCUCCUUGCCAAGUAUUUUCCAUGCCAAAAAAAGAUUGACAACUAUUUCAAUUGGUUGGUAAAGUUGAGAAAAGCUUCCACCAACCUCGCCAUUAAGUUGUGCUCCUUGCUCCAAUUUCUAAUUUUGCUUUCUACCCUCUUGUGGAGUUAGUGUGGAAAUGACUUUAUACAAGGGAGAUGAAGGUUGGUUUUAAGUAAGGUAGCUUAUUUGUAAACUUGUAUUUCCUUCAUUCAGGCGGUAGUUCUCAUUUCUUAGCCUUGAUUUUCAAUUUUGAUCCUCUCAUCUUGCCUCUAUGAGUGGCCAACAUCCAAACCAAGGAAUAAUUUUUAAUAAAAUAUUAAUAUUAAUGUUCAAAUAAAAUCAUAUAUUUAUAUUCCUUAUCACAUUUAUAGGAAGAGAAAUAUUUGAGACUAGGCCCAGUUCACUUUUUAUAAUUAUAAAUAUCAUAAAAAUAUGAAUAUUAAUAUCCUUAUCCUCAUAAAAGCAUAAUUAAUUUAUUUUAUAAAAAAUUAAUAAUAAUAAUAAUAAUUACUAGUACGAUUUUAUUUUAAAUAGAUUUAAAAUUAAAUAAAGUUUAAUUUUUAAGGUAUACAUGCAUAAGUUUUUCAUUACAUAUACACAUUUAAUACUUAAUUAGUAAUAGUGUAUUCUAAAAUUUUUUUAUCUAGUCUAUAACUAAUUAAUCCAUUUUUUGGAAUUCUAAAUUGUUCUUAAAAAUUAAAAUAUUCAUUAAAGAAUUGAAAGUGUUUAUUAUGUUUAACUUAAUUUAAAUUUAUUUAUCUAGUGAGAAAAUUCAUAAAAUAUAGUUUUAUGUAUAAAGGAAAUAGUAACGACUUUACAUUUAACGAAUCUUUUAUUUUAUAUUGAUUCAUUUAAUAGUCUAUUAUAUAUAUUUAAAAUUUAUUAAACUCAUUAAUAAAUUCAAUACAAAGUUUUACUUAAUUUGAAAUUCAUCUCUCUAGUGAAAAAAUUGAAAAAAAAUAUUAUUUUGUGAAAAAAAAAUACAAUAAAAUCAUUCUAAACUAAUUUUUGUCCAUAGAUUUUUUGUAUUUAUUAGUUUAUUAUUUGAUUUUUAAAUUAAUUUAAAAAAUUAUUAGACUUAUUAAUGAAUCCAAUACAUUAUUUUUUUGUUUAAUUUAUUUAUCACACCAUCAAACAAACUUUUAUUAUUAGUAAAAGACCUCUCAAAAGAUGUUUUUUUUCUAAAUAAAAAAAAAUAUUAUAAACGAUGUUUGAUUCGAGAGUUUUUUAAAAAUAAAAAUUAUUUUAAAUUAUGUGUACAUAAUUGUUGCAAAUUUAUUUCUUUUUCCAUUACCAUUUUCAUUCCUACUUAACAUUGAAAUGAAAACAAAUAAUCAAUUAAACCUUACAUUUAUUCCUAAUCCAAUGACAAGAAUUGGUAUCACCGAAUUCAUUCCAUUCUCUAGUCUCAUGUAUCAAACAUAGUCGUAUAGUACCAAAAACUUCUUCUAAGUAAUGUGGAAUAUCACAUUCACUUUCAUACAGAUACAGUUUUUAUUGUAUCACAUGGAAUUGUGAGGCCUUUUAGUACCAUUUGUAAUGACCCACCUCCAAUUAUAUAAAUAUUAUUUGGUCUAAGUCCAAUGGACUCUAAUCGGUUUUAAAACUUGGCUAUACUGUUAAGAGAAGUCUACUAUGUAUACAAUCUUCUCCUAAUAAACAUGUGACAUAACAAAUGGUGGGACUCAAACUAAAGCAAGGCCUUUCAAACUGUCUACCAUCUUAGUUUCAGCAUGAAUUCAAUUUGUUCCAAACAACAUAACUCUGGAGUAUUUUAAACAAACGAUUUCCAUUUAAAACACAUUAUUAAAGUAUAAAGAAAACAAACCCGAUCUUCAAGCGGUUUUGGGGAUCACCUGUGGAAGAGCAGUGAAAUAGAAAUAUCCACUAAGUGUAUAGGGACCCAAGAUCAACACAUGCAACAGGAUAUCUAAUUCCUCCUAAUAUCAUCAGCAUGAAGAAAAUUGGCAUCAUUUCCACUGAGUUCUGAUGCCCUCUCUGAAAAAAAAAUAAAUGCAAAACAUUUGUUUUUUCUAAUCAUCGGUCAUCCAUACAUAGAAAAAUCUAUGUGUGAUCUUAAGCCAGAAAAGAUGUUGCAUCUAAUCAAAUUCACUAGACAUGAUGAUAUCUAUACUUUUUUUUUUUUUAAUUAUAUUCAUAUUUAUGUCAGAAAAUAAAUUUUUUAUUUUUUAUUUUUAGAACAUUAAACUUUUUAAAAGUCCUUUCUGGGAUAUUUUCUAGCUUUUUCCUUUUGCUAAUUUUUGUUAUUCAAACAAAUCUUAAGAAAGGAAUCAAGCUUGGACACAAUUAAAGAGCUUGGCAUCCUUGUUUUUAGAUUCCAAAGCAUAUAUAGAGAUUGGGGUAAAACACCUUGUACCUAAGAAAAAAAAAGGAAAAAAAAACACCACAACAAAAAAUUAACCAAAAAUCAGAAAACUAACUAGAAUAAAAAAUCAAGAAAAUAUUUUUUUCUGGGUUAAUAAUUAAUUAUAAUGAAAUCAAAAGAAAAAGAAAAAAUACAUACUUCUUCCUGGCUUUGCCUACACUGAAAGCCAUGAAAGAAUUGGAAAAGCAGUAAAGAACAAGAACAAGAACCACAUAUGGGGAAAGCAAAUCCUCUGUUGCCUUCUUCAGAUUAAAGGCAACUAAUAAACGGGUUAAGGGGUUAUGAGUUUGACUUGGUUGAGUUUGAAGCUACAAAAGUAAGAAAAAUGGUAGUAAUUUUGGAAGCAUUUCUAACUCUUCCAUAACUUGAAAGAUAAAAAAAUUUAAGCGUUAAAAAUGUUAAAAGAGCUUUUUAGAAUCACCCCAAAUGUACUCUAAAUUAUUUAUGACUUGAUGUCACCUUCACACUCAUUUUUCAGUGUCAUUUAAUUUUGGUGUUCCCAUAUUAAAGAUUUAGGGUAAUGUAAUAUUCAAGCCUUCGAAUUUUGCCUUCACUAACCUUUGAAUUUUAAUUAAAUUCUUUGAAGGAUAUUUGACCACUUCAUUGUCCAAAAAUGCUUAUAUUGCCAUUUUUUUGGGUCUUUUUCUAUAAUUCCAAUUUUACUAUUUUUCUUUUAUUUAUUCCUAUUAUUAUUUAGGCUAUUAUAUAUAAUAUUCUUAAUAUUAUAUUUAUAAUUGUUAAUAGUAUAAUUACUUUUUUUUCAUUUAUUUGUCAUUUAUAUUGCUUAUCUUAUCUUUAAUCAUGUAUAAGACUCAAAAACUGCAGAAAACAUUAAUAAGUAACUACUAAACUUCAAAGAGAUAAUAAAAUUCAACUACAUUGAUAUUACAAUAAUACAAAUGAAAUAUAUACCAACCAGCCCUUAAAGGGGCUUUUAAGAAAUAAUGAGUCUACUUCAGAUUGACAUUUAAAGUAGAAUCACCAUCUCUAUAGAUAAAUAUGAAGCCUAAAAAGAACAGAACAUCACUAAAUAAUAUUAAUAAAGCAACAAUUAGAUCAAUUGAUAGUGAAAAUAAAGGUUUACAAGAUGAAUCACAUAAAUAAGAACAACUAAAUUGAGAAACAAAUUACAUGUCUGACAAAUCUAAUGAGGGAAAACAUUGGAGCUAGGUGCCCAAUGAUUGGCUCCUUGAAGUUGACCUACCUCCUCAAUAGGUACAUAGGAGUCCUUACCUAAAAAAACAUUAAAAUCAAUAGGGCGAACAUAAGAUCUAAUAAAGGAUAUGAGUUUUCCUUUUUGUGCACCAAAGGAAGAUAAUGAAGUAGAAGAAAAUGAUGAGAAUUUUUUUUUUGGAAAAUAUGGGGAGUCGUUCUGUAAAUGAAGCAGAAGAGGAGAAGUUGUAAGUGUUGGAGAGAAAAAAGAAGAAGGACAUUUUUGUCUCAAUCAACAAUUUUGUUUUGUUUUUUAACCGGUGGGUUAUAUAUGCAAAUGUGGGGGUUAUUUUGACCCCUUUAACCAAAUAUCCCUCUUUUUUAUCGAGUUACAACUUUAAAUUAGGUGUAAAAAGAAAUUUUGAUAUGGUAGAUACUAUACAGUUAUAUAUUGAAAUUCCAUGGUUCAUUAGAUAAACCAUCCUUGAAUUUCUUUGGUUUCAAUCAAGAUGAUAGAUCAUCCUUCCACAGAGUGACCUAAUAUGACAUUGAUUUUCUAGGGCUUCAAACACGAAGGGUGUCAAUGACUAAGAACUCCGUUUGAUUGCCGAGAAAAUGAGGAAAAAAACCCUCAAAUAAAAUAUAAAUACAAUUAAGAAUUUCAAUUUUACAUUGUUAGGGACCCCAAAAAUGGGAACAUUCACUUAACUGAGCCUAAUCCAACCACCUACCUUAGUUCAAUCCAGUCCCCACUUUCUAGAAACCAAAACAAUAUAAACAUUCCUGUGUUUGACUAUUCAGAAAGCAUAUGAUAAGCAAAGAAAAGAACGGUGCCUCCUCAAUCAAACAAAUUUUUUUUUUUCCUUUUCUUUUCUUGCAUUUUCUUUUUUUCGGCAACCAAACAUAACUUUUUAAUUGAGCAUUGUUGUAUACAAUUUAGAUUUCUUUCCCUCGGUUUCUCCGUAACCAAACAGAAUUUUUCUCUAUUGAGCGAGAGUCUAGUAUAUCCUUCGUUUUCCUAUAACCAAACAGAACUUCCCUUGUUAUUUUUUUUAAUCUUUUCUUUGAAUUUCUCGGAAACCCAACGGAGUUUACUUCUGGUGCAACCGUGCAAGAAAAUGGUUUUACCUGAUCGCAGUUCACCGGACUAACUGAAGCAACAGAGGCUUAAGAAAAAGAGACUGAGCUUUGUUUGUUAGACCCCCUAUGUGAGUAUGCAAAGUAAGAAGAACUGAAGCUGAAAUUAGGCGGCUUCCAAACACGUCCUAGGAGUUGGUUUUAAAACCCAUUUUUCCCCUUUUUGGUUGCAAUCGGUCUGCAAAGAUGCCAUUAAAAGGUAACCGUAGUUGGUUGCAUGAAUAAGAAAAUGAAAAGAAAAGAAGUUAAAACUAAUUAAAAUUAUUUAAUAUUUACAUUGAAGAGUAAAAAUAAUUACAAUAUAUUUAAAUAAACACAUAAAAAUAAUAAUUUAUUAAUUUUAAAUCUAUUUUUAAAAUUUUCAAUUUUUCAUUUAUUUUAUUCCCUCUAAGCUUUCUAACUAAGGUCAUAAUUUGGACAAAUUGUUGGAUUCAUAACUAAUCUAAAUAAUCUAAUAGAGAUAAAUAAAUAAUUAAUUUAAGUUCAACCCAACCUCUAAGCUUUCUAACUAAGGUCAUAAUUUGGACAAAUUGUUGGAUUCAUAGCUAAUCUGAAUAAUCUAAUAGAGAUAAAUAAAUAAUUAAUUUAAGUUCAACCCAACCUCUAAGCUUUCUAACUAGGGUCAUAACUUGAACAAAUUGGAUGGUUAACAUACAACUUGGACAUAUUGGUGGGUUCAUAGCUAAUCUGAAUAAUUUAAUAGGGAUUAAUAAAUAAUUAAUUUAAGUUUAGCCCCACCUCUAAACAAAGGUAUUUAAUUCAAUCUCAACCAACUUCAUUUCUUCGAGCUCUGGUUGAUGAGGUUAAACUUGGGUUAGCCCUUGAUUGUAUAAUUCAAAAUACAUGUAGAAUGUUUUUUAAUAAAAAAAAAUUUAUAUACUUAUAUCAAAUUUUAAAUAGUAAGUAGGACAAAACUUUAAAAUAACAAAAAAAAAACAAAAAAAAAAAACAAAAGCAAAAACAAAGUUAUAUAUCUUUUUUAAAAAGUAAAAAAAUAUAUUAUAUAAUAUAAUUUGAUUUUUUAUUUAUAAAAAUUUAGAAAGAAUAAAAUUAUUAUAUAAAAUAACAUAUAUUGGAAAUAUUAUAAAAACACUAAAAGUUUGUUCAGUAGUUAUUCAAAUAAGUGUUUCUAUCCAUAAUUUAAACUUUGGUUUCAAUCUAACUUGAAUUGAAUUUGAGUUGAAAAAGUUUAACUUGAAUAUUAAAAAUAAUUGUCUAAACACGAUCAAAUAUCGGAUUGGAUUCGACUAAUCUGCCAAAGUUGCACUCCUACCAAGAACCAUACACAAUAAAAAGAUUUUAAGAUAUUUUUUGUUCUAGGAAAGUACUCAAAAAGGAGAAAUAAAGAAAAAAAAUGAUUCUAUAUGUAUAAUUAAAAUUAGUUAAAUUUUAUAUAUUUUAAAAUUAUUUAAUUUUUUUUAUAUGGAAAAGAAAAAAAAAGAGUGAAGUAAGUUUGAAAAAACAAGUAAAAAUGAUUUGUUAACUUUAAUAUUUUUUUUCUUUUCUUUUCUUCUAUUUUUUUCUUUUUAGUUUAUUUUUCUCAAAUUUUUCAAAAAAUAAACAUAGAAUUAAAAAAUAAGAAAUAAUUACAGAAUUGGAAACCAAUUUUAGAACUUGCUUAUAUGAUUGCAUUAGUUUGUGUAAAUAAUAAUUUUAUUGAAUGUUAAGAGAGUGGUAUUAAAUGCACAUUAUUUAAUAUUUUUAUUUCUAAAGAAAGUAAUCUUUACAUGGAUUGGACCAGUGUUUAUUUAUCCAUGUGGGCCAGCCCAUUAAAAACAUCAAACCAACAACUCAAGGGACGACCCUGGUCAUUCUCGGGGGCCCACAACCUUCAUCUCAAACAAAAGCCCAUGGGCAGGAUCACCUUCCACACACAUCUUCAUACCAGCCACCACGCUACCAACAAUCCUCCUCCAUGAAAGCCCACCUCCAUCACAGCAAGCAGAAAAUCCAACACGCCAACCAUCAACCUCCGCACAGACCUAACACUGCAUAGCCGUGUUUUAGGAGUGUUAGGACGUGAUUAGAGAGGAUCUACUUUGAGUGUUCAUGGAGUUUCGCUAUAAGAGGAAUCAGUUUACCAAAAAUUCUUCAUGAAACCAUCCAUUUAUCUCAGGGAACAUUUAUGAAGUAGAGUCAAAUAGAUUUACAAAUAAGAGAUGAUUGAUUCCUUUGAAUGAAAUAACCUUAUUUCAAAUUGCCCUAAUGUGGCCUAAUAAGCAAAAUUACUGGUUAUAUUUUGGACACAUCUCAGUAGAGGUUCGGGGGAGAAAAUAGAAGAAGCAGAGAUGCUUACUUACUUCAGAGGGGCCACUGCUCGCCACCACCACUUCAUGGCUGUGCCCAUUUCACUUGCCCAAGCCACUCUCUUCUCCAAACCCUCCAUUUUACUCCACAGAAAUGCCAUCAAUGGCUUCUCCUUUUUCAUUCCUUUCUCCUCUUCUUCUGCUCAGAAGAUUCAGACUCACAAGUGGAGGCAACCGGUGGUCUCGGUUCUGGAUCUUGGUGGAGUCAAGAUUGGCAGAGAUGGUAACAUACCCACAUCCCAGAAUUGCGUUUAAAAAGGAUCUUUAGCUUGAAUUUCGUGUGCCCAAUUUGCGUUUUUGCAGACAUUUGCACUCAAGUCGUGUCGUUUGUUUGCAAUUUCACAAUCUGAUUUCUUUUCUAUUGUGCGUUUUUUUUUCCUGCUAGGUUCGAAUUCAAGCAUCCAAUUUGCGUUUUUGUGGGUAGUCUUAUGCCCAACUUGUGUCAUUCAAUUUGCAAUUGUUGUUAUCAGACUUCCUUCUCUCUUUUGAGACUUACACAGUUAGAGACGUCAUUUCUGUGAAAUUAAGAAUGCAUGUUCCAACUUUCACUUCUUUCUCUCUCUCUCUCUUUUUUUUUUUUUUUGUGAAAUUGGAAUUCAAGAACUUAUUUUACGUUUUACAAGCUUAGCGGGUUACGUUUCUGUUCUAUUUGUUGUGCUGUUGGAGGUGUUUGGUGCAUUUAUAUAACUAGGCUUGCAAUUUCGCCCUCUGAUAAAGGUUAAAUUUUCUCCCUUUUUAUUUUAUAUUUUUUUAAUGGUGUAUUUGUUUUGGGUAUUUGGUGAAAUGAGGAUUUUGUACUGGGUUUAUGGCAUUUUUUCAAUUGGUUUGAUAUAUGUGAAUGUGGGUUUUGUAGGGAAGAUAUGCAAAUUUUUUGAAAGUAAGAAUGCAAUUACAACUCUGAUUUCCUUUAUAUUUAUAUUUUUUUAUGCUUAUUUGCAUAUUGGUUGAUGUCAAAAUUCAUCUAAUGGGUUGUUUUUUAUUGCUUUGGAUUGGUUUAAUGUAGUUGAAUGGUGGAUUUUGUUUCUAAAACUUAGGGUCAAUUUCAAUUUUUAUUUUAUUUUUUUAUUUUUUCAAUUUGAAGACCUGGGAGUCUAUGUGAUUGGAAUUGAUGUACUCGAGUUUUUGGAUUUUGCUGAUUGCCUUGAUAAACUUGGGAUGCAGAGCCUUAAAAAAUAAACUACAUUCACUAAGCUAUAUCUCUGAUUAUACUUCGUCAGAGCGUGAAAUGCAACUUGGAGUCUUUGUAUUUUUUAAAUUUUUUGGGUUAUUCUAUUCUGAAUAUUUGGUAAAAUUAGAAUUCAUGUACUGAACCUUUUUCAAGUUCUUUUGGUUGGCUUGAUAUAUUUGGUUGUGGGGUUUGUAGAUGUGGUGAGGGAUGAUCCUACAAACAAUGUCCCGGAUGCAAUUUUUUUGAAACUUGGAAUGCAGCUUCACAGGAGGGAUCAACACCCAGUUGGAAUUCUGAAGAAUGCAAUAUAUGAUUAUUUCAAUGCCAAUUACUCUAACAAAUUUGAUAAGUUGGAUGACCUUUGCCCAAUAGUCUCCACAAAAGAGGUUUGACCAUUAAGAAAUAAAAUAGAAAUUGUAUGCAUGUUUUUUUUUCACUGUUUUGAGCUAUACAUUGCACUAUUUGGAACUUGUAUUAUCUUUCUAUGACUGGUGCUUGACAUUUUGUUGCUGUUUAUAUUUAUUUUGCUGCUCAUUUCUUGUUGGUUAGUGUCCUGUCCUAGGUGUUUUAACAUUUAAGAAUCCAUGAAAGUGGUAUUUGCAUAUGUUGCCCAUUAUUCCAUCGACGAUGUUCUAAGUAGGGAACCUAGUAUCCAAACUUCCAUCCAAACUUACAUAUAAAAAAAAAGUCCAGAACAGGCAUUCAGUUUACCAGGUUUAUCAGUUCUCUCCAGUGUUUAUUCAACUCUUAAAUGCAGUAUUCUGGACAUACUCCAAAUUUGAAAUUCCUUUGGUAAAAUAAAGGCAUGGUACUUAUAGUGGUCUAUUAAGGAAAAGGUUUGUUUGACCUAGCUUUUGUACAAAAAAUUCAAGGAUAGUCUUGCAGAUAUGUAUCAUAUAGGUGUAUAUUUCUCUAUCAUGAUACAAGUGAGAAAAAAUUCAGGAAAGUUGUUUUGUUUAAAAAAAAAAUUGAAAGUUAAUUUAUGUUUUGAGAGGGACAUUAGGCAACCUAGGAUUCAAAGGGACAUAUUGUCUCUUAGGAAAAUAUAAUUCAUAGCAUUCUCAACCACUUACAGGUUAUUUCAGUCCUUUUAUAUUGAUUUAUUUAAUUUUUUUCUUUAUUGUAGGCAAGCAAAAAAGAAUUUUACAACACCUACUAUUAUCAUUAUUUUGGUAAUUAGCAUUGAUGGAGAUUGUAAAAAUUCUCUAAUAGUAUUGCAGGAGAAAAAUAAUAUUUAUGAAUUUUUGUUAAACACAAUUGUCAUAAUGAUAAUAAUUAAUUAGAAUAAUAUAAGUUUGUAAUUGGAAAAAUUUUAAAAAAUAAAAGCUUUUGGAAAUAGUUUGAAUAGGAGUAGAAAAUUCUUGGAUUUCAUGGAGAGCUUAGGUGGGAUCUAAAGCAUGGGGCUGUUUGCUAUCUAUUUUAGUAUUUGCUGCUCUUCUCUCUUAUAGGUGUUCAGCUGCAGCUUGUAUUCUCUGAGCGUACUUGGGUUGUGCCCCCUUUUGUGUUCUUCAAUAUAAUCUUCAGGCUCAUGACUAGUGCAAUUUCUACUAAUUGAACACUUUUCACUUCAAAUAAUAUUCAGUAAUCUAAAUAGCAUUUAUCAAAUUAUUCUAACCCGCCAUUAGAUUUAUAAAGAACCCAAAAUAUGAAAUUUUCUUCUUAGGCAUGAGAAAUUGUCAUUGUUAUAAACCCCAUGUUUGUCUUGUACUUACAAGCAUAAUUAUAAAGCAUGAUCUGCGUGUCUUAUCAUGAAAUAUAACAAUGUCAUAAAAUAGAUGAUUGAUAAAAUGUUAGAAGUCCAUUGCAAAUGCUUAAUGGAACUGAAAAUUAUUACAGAACAAGUGCAUAUUUCACUCAAACUUUUAUGCAGUAGUGGUAGCUUAUAAACUCACAACUUUGUAAUCAUGUGCUUGAAUCAAGCAAACUUAAUGGCUCUCAGCUACAACUGCUCUACAUUUUAACCAUUGUUUUAUGUUAUGGGAAUAGUGACUGAAUUACACAGUUCCAUCAUUAUAAUUUAUGCAUUGUAAUUUCAUUUGUGGGACUUAGUUUUCACAUGUGUUCACAUGUCAUAACUGUAAUUUCCCUAAUUUUAUGAGAAAGAAAAACUCUUUAAUUUUCCCUAUUUUGACUGAAACUUUUGGAACUUGGACUUUAUAUGGUGCAAAUGUAUGUUAUCAGCUAUUGCUUUUGACCAGUCAUGAGUAGAUACUAUUUAUAAAAAGACACAAAGGAGGAUAUAAUCCAAGUGCACUUGUAGUCAACAAGUUACUCUGGGCAUCAAAAUUGAAAGAAACAACAAUGAAGAAAAGCAGCAAGAAAGUGCCCCUACCUCCCAAACUCUCAAUGAACUAAUGGAAGGAUCUACUACUAUGCAAGAUAACUUCUUCUAAGCACAACUACACAUAACAAUACUUAGCCUGCGCUAUGGUGUCAAGUGGUAGGGUCAUUGGAACAUGCCUAUUUUGAUGGAUUUUAAUUUGUGGGGAUAGUUAAAGUGUAAAGUGUUUGAUAAAAUAAAUUUGCUAGUUUUAAUAAAUUGGAAUUACUACUGAAUGAAAUGUGAAGCUAGAUAUUAGGAGGAGAAAGAAAGAUAAUUAAUUUAUUUGUAUGACACUAUGACUUACACAUUGUGAAGCUUACUAGUAGGGAAUUGUUGAACAGGGGAACUUACUUAAUAGGGGAGAAAGAACCACACAUAUUUCUUGAUGAGUAAAUAUAAUUACAUUAGCCAAAGGCCAAAAAUAUAUGAGUAGUUCACUAAUUGCAUGUUAUUGGAAAGAGAGCUGAGCAACUAUGAUUCAUAAACUUUUUACAAUUUAAAGGCCUGGGUCCAAUGAGAUAUGUUGCAUCAUAUUACCUAAUGAACCAAUGAAGUUUAUGGAUUUCCAAAACUUCUUGGAGAGGUUCAUUAUUUUAUGGUUCUUUUUUUUUAGGGUUCUUUAUUUUCUCUUUGCUGAGAUAUCUAGAAUAUGGCAUGGUAGGUAUUUUUGCUCCAUACCUCUUUGGAGGUCGAUUCUUUGGCAAAGUAGGAGGAAAACAAAUUAGCAUCAACUUUGGCUUGACUUGAGAUCACAAAUCUGACUAGAGAUUUUGCAGUAGUGUGUUGAGGUCUAAUCUGAAUCCAGGUUGUGAUGUGUGCAUCAAAGAGUCUUUCCAUAAGCCAUGAAGCUUUGAGGUGUUUUGUGAUGGCAUGACUGGAUAAUGAGCUGCAUUUUGGUCUGGAAUUUGGAGUUCGGUUAUGCAUUUCUGUAUCUAUAUCUCCAAAAUUAUUAACUAAUUUUAAUUAUUUUAUCUAUUUUUCAAAAUAAACAUUCAAAAUUGAAAGUUUGUGUCACGAGUCUUCAGGCUUAUCCGGAAUAGAAUGCCCUGCAUUAACUCUUGCUGUUAAUGCAUAUAAUACCAGGUCAGUCAACACAGCCAUUCGCUUGCUUAUGUUGACUUUCAAUGGCUUAAAGUUUAUGGCUUCAAUGGUUAUUACCAUGCUAACACUCAAACUAAUUCUUUUUUUGAUAGGUAAAUAAGAGCUUGUAUUAGAAGCGCCUAGAAGUGGCGAAAACAGUACACAUGAAGUAUACAAACAGAUUGCCCAAGAAACUAGGCAAAGAAGACAAAAAACCUUUCCCCUAACUAGACAUAUGGCCACUCUAUAAAAUGGUCAUUGGUUUCCUCUUUCUCUUUACACAAGCAUAUUCAAACUAAUAACUAAUAGUUAUUGGAUUUAAAGCUUGUUUGUUAAUGUUCUUCAUGGUUGUGCUUCUAUUUUUAAUCGAUUCUCUUGGCCAUCACCGUUUCCCCCUUAUUAAGAUUGGAUAUUUAAGUUUCAACGAAACAGCCUACUAAAUCCUCCAGAUAGAUCCUAUUUAUAAGGCAUGGAAGUUUGGUCAAUGUCUGCUUCCAAGAUUCUUAUCCAUAUUUCUAUGAAUUCUUAUGCCAGAAAGUCUACUUCUUGCAGAAUUUUGAUGAUGUCUUGGUUCCUCCUGAUCACGUCAGUAGAAGUUACAAUGAUACAUACUACAUUGACUCCCAAACUGUCUUGAGGUGCCACACUAGUGCUCAUCUAGCAGAGCUAUUGAGGAGGGGACACACUCAUUUCCUUGUGACUGGAGAUGUUUAUCCUAGAGAUUCCAUUGAUUCAACUCACUACCCUGUUUUUCAUCAGGUUUCUUAUCUCUGAUUUUAUCAAUGAUUGUUUUCUAUUAACAAGUUUCUUAAUGUUUUCUUCAGUUCAAUAACUUAUCAUGCAGAUGGAAGGUGUUCGUGUCUUCUUUCCAGGUGAUUGGGAGACAUCUGGAAUGGAUGGCACGUCUUAUGCGGCUGAGGAUUUAAAGAAAUGUCUUGAGGGUUUGGUGCAGCACUUGUUUGGUAAACUUAGAUCAGGAGAUUGUCUUAAUCAGAUGCAAACUUAAUGCUAUCAGUUCAUGCUGCAGUGAGAAAUAUGAGUUAAGGAAUCAUUUAUCAGGUCGAAUAAUUCAAAAUCUGGGAAAUACUGCAAGUAAAAGGGGGGAAAAAUAAUGAAAUAAUAAAAUAAUAAAAUAAUAAAUUUAAGUG